UCUAAUAAGGUGUGACAUCUACAAAAUUGGAAAUCAAUUUGUUUCGUACACAAAGAUUUAACUUACCGUACACAUACUAAUAAUUUCAACUUAAAGUUAAAACGAAAUUUAAAAACCCUAAUUCUAAACCCAAUUCAAGUUUGCCAGAAACAAAACUUAAAACUGAUAUACUAUACACAAACUAAUCAAUUCAGAUAGGAUAUAGACCCAACAAUUAUAACUUAUAAGAAGAAACUAGCAUAAAGGAGUAGUUGGAGGCAAAAUCAUAGCCUAUGAGUGUAUGCGUCCGUCUGUAUGUACGUGCUCUAUGUUUGUGGGUGUGUGUCUAUGUACUAUGUCUGUGUGUGUGUCCAUGUAUAUAUGCUGAUUUUGGGUGUGUGUGUGUGUGUGUUGAUGUAUGCAAGUUGUGUGUGUAUGUACUAAGCAACAUAAUUUCAAACAAUUUCCACCAUAAUUACUUAAUAGUUUCACAGGUAGUAAUGAGAAAAGGGAUCAUCCAAAGUGAUUCUUAGUCUCUUUAAACAUCCACAUUACAUAUAGAAAUCAUAUGACUAUUGGAUAUAAAUAGAGCUUGCUAACUGGAAUAAUUAACAAUGCACUAUAUUUAUAAAAGAGUGAGUAGCAACAAAUAACACUUUCUAUCUAUUUAGGAGUCAAGACUUUCGAGAGAGAACCAUUAGUAGGCUAAUUAAGCUGUUUAUGAUCUUCAAAUUAGAAAACCC
This 722-nucleotide long non-coding RNA is filed under the name Malus domestica (apple). RNAcentral describes it as "long non-coding RNA (MDOM_LNC003605)". The record is from RNAcentral. Lineage: Eukaryota; Viridiplantae; Streptophyta; Magnoliopsida; Rosales; Rosaceae.